Molecule: unclassified non-coding RNA, 638 nt
Filed under: Trichothecium roseum
Lineage: Eukaryota; Fungi; Ascomycota; Sordariomycetes; Hypocreales
Description: sequence contains 18S rRNA gene, ITS1, 5.8S rRNA gene, ITS2, 28S rRNA gene
Rfam family: 5.8S ribosomal RNA (bases 230-383)
Source: RNAcentral
UGGAAGUAAAAGUCGUAACAAGGUCUCCGUUGGUGAACCAGCGGAGGGAUCAUUAUAGAGUUAACAAAACAACUCCCAACCCUUUGUGAACCUUACCUACCGUUGCUUCGGCGGACCGCCCCGGGCGCUGCGUGCCCCGGACCCAAGGCGCCCGCCGGGGACCACACGAACCCUGUUUAACAAACAUGUGUAUCCUCUGAGCGAGCCGAAAGGCAACAAAACAAAUCAAAACUUUCAACAACGGAUCUCUUGGUUCUGGCAUCGAUGAAGAACGCAGCGAAAUGCGAUAAGUAAUGUGAAUUGCAGAAUUCAGUGAAUCAUCGAAUCUUUGAACGCACAUUGCGCCCGCCAGUAUUCUGGCGGGCAUGCCUGUCCGAGCGUCAUUUCAACCCUCGGGCCCCCCCCUUUUCCCCUCGCGGGGGAGGGGGCGGGCCCGGCGUUGGGGCCCAGGCGUCCUCCAAGGGCGCCUGUCCCCGAAACCCAGUGGCGGCCUCGCCGCUGCCUCCUCCGCGUAGUAGCACAAACCUCGCGGGCGGAAGGCGGCGCGGCCACGCCGUAAAACCCCAAACUUUUACCAAGGUUGACCUCGGAUCAGGUAGGAAUACCCGCUGAACUUAAGCAUAUCAAUAAGCGGAGGA